UAUCUCGAAAAUUAUUGCAGCAUUACCUCAUAAGCCAAACAACUACAGUAGCACAAGCAAAAUGCCCAAAUUCACAAAUCAACUUCCAAUUUGCCAAGAUAAGAAAAAUAUUGGGGUGAUUGGGACUGAACGUGAUAGGGAGAACCCGUGUUCGAUCCCGCGCAACAACAAUUGGGAGGGGACUGAAACCUAACCACCCAGAACUCGCCCCGAAUCCGGAUUAUCCCUAAGGAAGAACCGGAUGUUAACACCAAAAAAAAAAAAAAACUUUAAACUUGAUUUACUAUUCACGCAAUAGGGAAGUACCCACCCUACCCUCAUUUUAGGCUCUGUUUUGAUUUUUAUCUUAUUCUUAAUAAUAAUGAGCGGACCAUUUUGCACUUCCACGUUCUCCUUUUCUCUCCCUUUUUCCUGGUUAGUUCCUUUUCUCCUUCUAGACUUUUGCUCUGCGCCCGCACCCCUUCUCCUCUACUCCAUGUUUUCCCUUUCGUCACUUUGGGUUUCUUCAUCACUUCCCUUCCCGCAACUCUGCUCUCAUCGUCCCGUGCGGAGGAGGUGGCAAAGAAGAGGAACAAGAUGAUAUGCUCGUACAAUCUCCUUUCGAAUCUCCUCCUUCCUCCGUCUUCCUCUAAAAUAUUUUUUAAUUUUGAUCUGGAUUUUUAUUUAUUUUUGGUAAAAGGGGAAAGAAGGGAAGAAAGUAGCUAUAUUUUUUGUUCCGAGUAUUGGGAGUUAGUUUAUUUGGAGGGUUUUCGGUGGGGUUUUGUACCAGACAUGGCUCUGGGAAAGAUCAUCUUCUCAUUGGUGCAGAAAGAGAUCCGGUCAGGAAUUUGCUAAGAUAGUAAUGUCCAUUUGAUGUGGCACCGUGCAAAUGACAGUUAUCCAAGAAGGAAAUCGG
Long non-coding RNA from Spinacia oleracea (spinach), 895 nucleotides. RefSeq lists it as uncharacterized. Lineage: Eukaryota; Viridiplantae; Streptophyta; Magnoliopsida; Caryophyllales; Amaranthaceae. The transcript has 5 exons. The record is from RefSeq and is a predicted model, not a curated record.